GACGAACGCUGGCGGCGUGCUUAACACAUGCAAGUCGAACGGAAAGGCCCUGCUUUUGUGGGGUGCUCGAGUGGCGAACGGGUGAGUAACACGUGAGUAACCUGCCCUUGACUUUGGGAUAACUUCAGGAAACUGGGGCUAAUACCGGAUAGGAGCUCCUGCUGCAUGGUGGGGGUUGGAAAGUUUCGGCGGUUGGGGAUGGACUCGCGGCUUAUCAGCUUGUUGGUGGGGUAGUGGUUUACCAAGGCUUUGACGGGUAGCCGGCAUGAGAGGGUGACCGGCGACAUUGGGACUGAGGGACGGCGCAGACGCGUACGGGAGGCAGCAGGGGAGAAUAUUGCACAAUGGGCGGAAGCCUGAGGCAACGACGCCGCGUGCGGGAUGACGGCCUUCGGGGUAUAAACCGCUUUCGCCUGUGACGAAGAGUGAGUGACGGUAAUGGAUAAAGAAGCACCGGCUAACUACGUG
RNAcentral lists this ribosomal RNA (468 nucleotides) under uncultured bacterium. RNAcentral describes it as "partial 16S ribosomal RNA". It matches the Rfam family "Bacterial small subunit ribosomal RNA", at positions 28 to 507 of the family's 1533-position model. The record is from RNAcentral.